UGCGAGUCUUUGCAGUAAUGCAAGGCAUACGGCUCAGUAACACGUAGUCAACUUACCCUAUGGACGAGGAUAAUCUCGGGAAACUGAGCAUAAUACUCGAUAGAUCAUAAUGCCUGGAAUGGUUUAUGGUUGAAAUGAUUCGUCGCCAUAGGAUGGGACUGCGGCCUAUCAGCUUGUUGGUGAGGUAAUGGCCCACCAAGGCGAUUACAGGUACGGGCUCUGAGAGGAGAAGCCCGGAGAUGGGUACUGAGACAAGGACCCAGGCCCUAUGGGGCGCAGCAGGCGAGAAAACUUUGCAAUGUGCGAAAGCACGACAAGGUUAAUCCGAGUGAUUUCUGCUAAAGAAAUCUUUUGCCAGUCAUAAAACCACUGGUGAAUAAGGGGUGGGCAAGUUCUGGUGUCAGCCGCCGCGGUAAAACCAGCACCUCAAGUGGUCAGGAUGAUUAUUGGGCCUAAAGCAUCCGUAGCCGGCUUUGUUAGUUUUCGGUUAAAUCCAUGUGCUCAACGCAUGGGCUGCCGAAAAUACUGCAUAGCUAGGGAGUGGGAGAGGUAGACGGUACUCAGUAGGAAGGGGUAAAAUCCUUUGAUCUAUUGAUGACCACCUGUGGCGAAGGCGGUCUACCAGAACACGUUCGACGGUGAGGGAUGAAAGCUGGGGGAGCAAACCGGAUUAGAUACCCGGGUAGUCCCAGCUGUAAACGAUGCAGACUCGAUGAUGCAUUGGCAUAUAGCCAGUGCAGUGUCGCAGGGAAGCCGUUAAGUCUGCCGCCUGGGAAGUACGUACGCAAGUAUGAAACUUAAAGGAAUUGGCGGGGGA
Molecule: ribosomal RNA, 817 nt
Filed under: uncultured archaeon
Lineage: Archaea
Description: bacterial SSU rRNA
Rfam family: Archaeal small subunit ribosomal RNA
Source: RNAcentral